RNAcentral lists this ribosomal RNA (446 nucleotides) under uncultured bacterium. Its description in RNAcentral is "SSU rRNA". It matches the Rfam family "Bacterial small subunit ribosomal RNA", at positions 26 to 518 of the family's 1533-position model. The record is from RNAcentral.
AGAGCGAACGCUGGCGGCAGGCCUAAUACAUGCAAGUCGAACGGAUCCUUCGGGAUUAGUGGCGGACGGGUGAGUAACACGUGGGAACGUGCCCUUUGGUUCGGAACAACUCAGGGAAACUUGAGCUAAUACCGGAUGUGCCCUUCGGGGGAAAGAUUUAUCGCCAUUGGAGCGGCCCGCGUCUGAUUAGCUAGUUGGUGGGGUAAAGGCCUACCAAGGCUACGAUCAGUAGCUGGUCUGAGAGGAUGAUCAGCCACACUGGGACUGAGACACGGCCCAGACUCCUACGGGAGGCAGCAGUAGGGAAUCUUGCGCAAUGGGCGAAAGCCUGACGCAGCCAUGCCGCGUGAAUGAUGAAGGUCUUAGGAUUGUAAAAUUCUUUCAGCGGGGACGAUAAUGACGGUACCGCAGAAGAACGCCCCGGCUAACUUCGUGCCAGCAGCCGC